ACAGCCAUAUCACAUUGAAACACCAGUUCCCAUACAAUCACCAAAAUUAAGCAAUGUCAAGCUUGGUGAGUACCUAGAUGGGUGAGAAUUUUGGAAUACUAGGUGCUGUAAG
Acanthosepion pharaonis is the source of this 112-nucleotide non-coding RNA. NCBI's taxonomy places the organism in Eukaryota, Metazoa, Mollusca, Cephalopoda, Sepiida, Sepiidae. The record is from the annotation of a GenBank genome assembly.